This 424-nucleotide ribosomal RNA is filed under the name uncultured bacterium. RNAcentral's name for it is "partial 16S ribosomal RNA". It matches the Rfam family "Bacterial small subunit ribosomal RNA", at positions 360 to 776 of the family's 1533-position model. The record is from RNAcentral.
AAUAUUGGACAAUGGGGGCAACCCUGAUCCAGCCAUGCCGCGUGUGUGAAGAAGGUCUUCGGAUUGUAAAGCACUUUAAGUUGGGAGGAAGGGUUGUAGGUUAAUACCCUGCAAUUUUGACGUUACCAACAGAAUAAGCACCGGCUAACUUCGUGCCAGCAGCCGCGGUAAUACAGAGGGUGCAAGCGUUAAUCGGAAUUACUGGGCGUAAAGCGCGCGUAGGUGGUUCAGUAAGAUGGGUGUGAAAUCCCCGGGCUUAACCUGGGAACUGCUUUCAAAACUGGCAAGCUAGAGUAUGGCAGAGGGUGGUGGAAUUUCCUGUGUAGCGGUGAAAUGCGUAGAUAUAGGAAGGAACACCAGUGGCGAAGGCGGCUUUCUGGACUGUAACUGACACUGAGGCAUGAAAGCGUGGGUAGCAAACAGG